GAUGAACGUUGGCGGCGUGCCUAACACAUGCAAGUCGAACGGAAAUAGCAAUAUUUGAGUGGCGCACGGGUGAGUAACACGUAGCUAAUCUACCUCAAAGCGCGGGAUAACGUGUCGAAAGACAGGCUAAUACCGCAUAAGCUCCCGGUCUGUAGAGGAUUGGGGGAAAAGGCGCAAGUCACUUUGAGAUGAGGCUGCGGCCCAUCAGCUAGUUGGUGCGGUAAUGGCGUACCAAGGCGACGACGGGUAGGGGACCUGAGAGGGUGACCCCCCACACUGGGACGUGAGACACGGCCCAGACUCCUACGGGAGGCGAGCAGUGAGGAAUAUUGCACAAUGGGCGAAAGACCUGAUGCAGCGACGCCGCGUGGGUGGAAG
This 378-nucleotide ribosomal RNA is filed under the name uncultured bacterium. RNAcentral's name for it is "bacterial SSU rRNA". It matches the Rfam family "Bacterial small subunit ribosomal RNA", at positions 28 to 413 of the family's 1533-position model. The record is from RNAcentral.